RNAcentral lists this ribosomal RNA (1332 nucleotides) under Escherichia coli. RNAcentral describes it as "partial 23S ribosomal RNA". It matches the Rfam family "Bacterial large subunit ribosomal RNA", at positions 1636 to 2925 of the family's 2925-position model. The record is from RNAcentral. Lineage: Bacteria; Pseudomonadati; Pseudomonadota; Gammaproteobacteria; Enterobacterales; Enterobacteriaceae.
AUCAAAUCGUACCCCAAACCGACACAGGUGGUCAGGUAGAGAAUACCAAGGCGCUUGAGAGAACUCGGGUGAAGGAACUAGGCAAAAUGGUGCCGUAACUUCGGGAGAAGGCACGCUGAUAUGUAGGUGAAGUCCCUCGCGGAUGGAGCUGAAAUCAGUCGAAGAUACCAGCUGGCUGCAACUGUUUAUUAAAAACACAGCACUGUGCAAACACGAAAGUGGACGUAUACGGUGUGACGCCUGCCCGGUGCCGGAAGGUUAAUUGAUGGGGUUAGCCGCAAGGCGAAGCUCUUGAUCGAAGCCCCGGUAAACGGCGGCCGUAACUAUAACGGUCCUAAGGUAGCGAAAUUCCUUGUCGGGUAAGUUCCGACCUGCACGAAUGGCGUAAUGAUGGCCAGGCUGUCUCCACCCGAGACUCAGUGAAAUUGAACUCGCUGUGAAGAUGCAGUGUACCCGCGGCAAGACGGAAAGACCCCGUGAACCUUUACUAUAGCUUGACACUGAACAUUGAGCCUUGAUGUGUAGGAUAGGUGGGAGGCUUAGAAGUGUGGACGCCAGUCUGCAUGGAGCCGACCUUGAAAUACCACCCUUUAAUGUUUGAUGUUCUAACGUUGACCCGUAAUCCGGGUUGCGGACAGUGUCUGGUGGGUAGUUUGACUGGGGCGGUCUCCUCCUAAAGAGUAACGGAGGAGCACGAAGGUUGGCUAAUCCUGGUCGGACAUCAGGAGGUUAGUGCAAUGGCAUAAGCCAGCUUGACUGCGAGCGUGACGGCGCGAGCAGGUGCGAAAGCAGGUCAUAGUGAUCCGGUGGUUCUGAAUGGAAGGGCCAUCGCUCAACGGAUAAAAGGUACUCCGGGGAUAACAGGCUGAUACCGCCCAAGAGUUCAUAUCGACGGCGGUGUUUGGCACCUCGAUGUCGGCUCAUCACAUCCUGGGGCUGAAGUAGGUCCCAAGGGUAUGGCUGUUCGCCAUUUAAAGUGGUACGCGAGCUGGGUUUAGAACGUCGUGAGACAGUUCGGUCCCUAUCUGCCGUGGGCGCUGGAGAACUGAGGGGGGCUGCUCCUAGUACGAGAGGACCGGAGUGGACGCAUCACUGGUGUUCGGGUUGUCAUGCCAAUGGCACUGCCCGGUAGCUAAAUGCGGAAGAGAUAAGUGCUGAAAGCAUCUAAGCACGAAACUUGCCCCGAGAUGAGUUCUCCCUGACUCCUUGAGAGUCCUGAAGGAACGUUGAAGACGACGACGUUGAUAGGCCGGGUGUGUAAGCGCAGCGAUGCGUUGAGCUAACCGGUACUAAUGAACCGUGAGGCUUAACCUUACAACGCCGAAGGUGUUU